CGACAGCGACAGUGACCAAGAGGAAAAGGCAUCUGAUGCCAGCUCUGAAAAACUGUUCAACGCUGUUACAAAUAAAGAUAAGGAGUUAGGAGUCAGUACACUAGCGGAAAAUGCCAACCCUGGUGCUAGGGGCCCAGCCGUCCCGAAGAUAUCGGGACUAGAAAGGAGUCAAGAGAAGAGCCAGGACAGCAGCAAAGACCCCCUCCUCGAGCCCACGGUGCCUAAAGACCC
Molecule: long non-coding RNA, 231 nt
Organism: Nothoprocta perdicaria
Lineage: Eukaryota; Metazoa; Chordata; Aves; Tinamiformes; Tinamidae
Exons: 3
Source: RefSeq, a predicted model, not a curated record